GGGACCCCGGUGGGCGGCGGUGCGGGCGGCGAGCGCGGAGCCAGCUCUUGCCCUGCGCUGCCGGAGGCCGCCACCAUGACCCUCACCAAAGGCUCCUUCACCUACUCCAACGGGGAGGAGUACCGCGGCGAGUGGAAGGAAGGUCGCAGGCACGGCGUUGGGCAGCUGAUGUUUGCUGAUGGCACCGCUUACGUGGGGCACUUCGAGAACGGGCUGUUCCACGGCUGUGGCGUGCUCACCUUCUCUGACGGCUCCAGGUGAGCGUGGCACCCCUGCGUACACCCCCUGAGCACCCCCGCUUGCCGCGGGGAGCUGCUGCCUCAGGAGCAACUCUUGCCCAGGUACGAGGGGGAGUUUGUGCAGGGCAAGUUCAACGGCGUCGGCGUCUUCACCCGCUGCGACAACAUGACUUUUGAGGGCGAGUUCAAAGGCGGGCGUGUGUACGGCUUCGGUCUCCUGACCUUCCCCGAUGGCUCCCACGGGGUGCCCCGCAACGAGGGCUUCUUUGAGAACAACAAGCUGCUGCGGCGCGAGAAGUGCCCGGCCGUCAUCCAGAGGGCCCAGGGUGCCUCCAAGUCUGCACACAACCUGACAGCGUGAUGGUGCCCCACGUCCCCUCCCGCCGCAGAAGGGACCCCCCCACUGGGCAUCAGCUGGCCCUGCCAUCCCCAGAGCAGGGAUGUGGCACUGCUGGGUGCCCCCCUGCCCUCUGUCUCCGCCAAGCCCCCCCUGCCAAACCCCCAUGGCUGGGGAGGACCCCUCCACCCAAGUGCCGCAGGGCAGCCGUGGUGCCUUCUCUCUCUGGCUAUAGCCCUGGCACCCGCUGGAGCAGCACGGGGACGGGGUGGCUGGGGCUCGGCUCCUCUGCCCCCAGGAAGACUGUGGAGCGCUGGGGCUGCUGGCCUGCUGCAGAGGAUGGAGCAGGGGUGUAGGGGCUGAGCCCUCACCCCACUGCCAGGGUGCCUUGGCUGGGAGCUGCUGGCUGGACCACGCGCUUGCAGAGCGGCAACUCCUAGCCCACUUCACUACCCUGGUUUCGAGGCAAGGUGGGCACCCUGUGGCCUGUCCCCCUUCUGGGUGACUGGCCAUCCCCCAGCUUGCCUGGGCAGGGUGACGUGGUGCCCUGAAAGGACCCAGCCUGCUCUCGGCCCUGGCAAUGGGCUGUGUCCCCCUCAUCCCUGUGCCUUGGGGACAUCUGCAGCAGUAUCCCCAAGAAAGGGGAUCAGGGAACACGCAGCCUGGCUAUGUCUGCUGCACACUGGGGGAGGGCUGGAGGCAUGGUGAGCUGGGAGCAGGGUCUGACAGAGCCCAGAAUGAGGGGCACAAGCAGGGCUGUGUAGGGGCCAGGGCUGGAGCAGGGGGUCCAUUCGGGGCAGGUGGGGAUAGGGGCACGGUGAAGGGGCAGGCAGGGUGGGCAGGGAGCACACAGCUCCCCAUCUUGCCCCCCACGUGCAUCCUUCAUCUCCCUUCACCCUGGUGCGGUCUGGCCGUGGUGCGGGGGUCCCGGCAGCCCUCGCAGCCAUGGCCUUCCCUGCCGGUCUCUGCCCGCACCGGUCCCGUGCCUUGCCGUGACCCUGCCUUGUGCUGCUGCCUGCACAGGCCUCAGCUGAGUAAAUCACGUUGCCAAACGCA
This 1632-nucleotide long non-coding RNA is filed under the name Strigops habroptila (Kakapo). RNAcentral describes it as "lncRNA (ENSSHBG00005020909.1)". Lineage: Eukaryota; Metazoa; Chordata; Aves; Psittaciformes; Psittacidae. The record is from RNAcentral.